Molecule: long non-coding RNA, 522 nt
Organism: Lucilia sericata (common green bottle fly)
Lineage: Eukaryota; Metazoa; Arthropoda; Insecta; Diptera; Calliphoridae
Exons: 2
Source: RefSeq, a predicted model, not a curated record
UUUUAAGUAUCUUUAGAUUUUAGCUUUUAAGUAUUUUUAGAUUUUAAGUAUCUUUAGAUUUUAGCUUUUAAGUAUCCUUAUAUUUUAGCUUUUAAGUAUUUUAUCUUUAUUUUCUCCUCUUUCUUCUACAGGUCCUACGGCUAUGGAGUUGGCAGGUGUUGCAGUGGGGUUUCCGUCGUCCGUAUUCUGUCCAGGUCCGGGUAAUUCAGGUCAGUUUGCAAAAAUUUUAAAUAUCUUUUAAAUAAUUAUUUAUAUAUAUUUAUUUUUUUUUUACAUAUAUAUACGUAUAAAAAUACUGAGCUACUGGGUGCAAAUCUGCCGCAAAUUCUUCUAAAAAACUAGGCCUGAGCUCAACCCUAACGUCGCGCACGCUUGGCGGUAAUUUUUGGCCAGCGGUCUGGUCCGAUUCUAACCAAUGGUACUGUCAGUCCGUCUUGUCGUUCAGGGUCAAAAAUCUUUAUGGUCGAAACCUUUGGGUAUACCUGCGCACCCCAGGAUUGGCAGUGCGGAGCCGAUGUUCCC